CGAGCAGUCUCUUAGGAAGACUUCUUCCUCAUCAAGAUCAAUUUUCCCUGCUCCCCUAUUGUCUGGGGAAACCUAUCUCCAGGAGCGUCUUUCUUGAAAGAUCUCAUGACUUUAAAAUCAUCAGUGGGCUUUGUGUAGUCUGCCUGUCAAAAGAGAUAUGUUUACACCUUCCCUGCAUGUGUUAGAGCUAUAAGGUUACGGAGCAGAAUGGCUGAUACGUUUCGGCGCUCCAUGCUAAUACGCACAAAAAAAUGUAUUUAUGAUAAUCAUAUGGACUGUCUGAAACAAUGCAUUCCAACAUCCUGUAACAUAAAUAAGAAAGGUGGAGCCAGCCGGCAGCCAAGUGUUUAUUUGCCAGCGAUCCUGCUCAGCGCGGCGUACCUCGGCUCCGCCGGCUCAGGCUGGCAGCAUUGAACCUGUUGCUGCAUUGGGCGAGUUGUGUUUUGCGAGCCGGGGAAGGAGGGUUGUCUGCUGUCUGGGAGGAGGGCUUUGUCUGUGUGCGCCUUUCUCUCUCUCCUCUCGCUCUCCCCGGCUCUCGCACUCUCGCUCGCUCUCGCUCGCUCUCUCUCGCUCGCUCUCCCUUUCCCGUCUCUGUGGUUUGGAAGCAGCAUAAGAAAGAAGUGUUGAGAGCUGCUCUUAACCCUUUUGGAGGCCGAAGUCAAAAGGAGAAGAGCAGGGAUAUGGUAAGAGGAAUCAAAACAUUAUUAGACCUUUUUAAGAGCCACCAGCAUAUCUGGGCAUAAAUUAUACAGGUAAGCUACAACUGGUAAACUGCAAUUAUCUGUUUUACUUAAUAUGAAAACAUUGGUGUUGAGAGUCAGUGGGAAUUUCAGUAGGAUUUAAUAUUGCUAAGGAUUUAAUGAUUUUUUUUCUCACUAUUACUUGAUAGUUUUUAUGAUAUAUAAAGUUUUUUUUCAAAUUACAGUGAGACAAAUCCUGUAGCUCUUUUCUCAGAAAGAGUCCCUCAAUGGGAGUUUUGCCUGAGUGAGAACUGAAUGAGGUCUAAAUAAUUAGCAAUUAAAAUAUUCAGUUAUUGUGCUACUGUAUAUAACAAAGCACUGGAGGUAUUAAAAAUUGCUAAUCUCCUUCUUAUUAAAAUGUUAACUGCUAAACAUAAUACAGUUUUGCAUUUCUAUCAUUCAUUUUUACAGUUCAUUAGUAGAGGUGAAAUGUUUGUGACAAAUAGUCAUUUGAACUUUUAAGGGAUUGACUUUGUUUUCCUGGCAUUUUAGUUAGUAUUUCCGACUGAGUUAAUUUGCAAGCAGAAGUCUUUGCGUAAGCCGUGGAUUUUAGUAAAAAACCUGAUCAUGAGUAACUUCUCACAUGCCAUUCAUGAGUAUUUGCAGAAAAAAGCCAGUGGUAGGCUACUCCUCAGGAGGCAGGGCUGGCCAGCUUGAGUGUGUAAUUUAUGUAUGUUUAUGGCUGUUUGAGUAUGUAAUUUUUACAUUUUGAUCCAGCAGCUUCUUGUAAUGAACUCCAGUGAUAGGUUAAGGGUUGUCCAAAGGGUUUACUGGACAAUUUUCAGUGAGACACUGGCCUGUGAACAGUUCAGCAACUGGCUAAGGAGCAAAGCUGUGCACCCCAGGCCUGUAAAUUAGCACAUGAACUCUAUUACCCUGCUAGUUAAUGUAAAGGCCAGACUGUGCUCUCAUCCUGCUUCACAGUGCAAAAGAAUGAGUAAGAUGCAUCUCCUAUCUCCUCCACGUAGCAGCAGAGGAAGUGUGGGAAGGGAGAGUCAUAUUUGGUGACAGAGAACAGAGUGGUAAGUGAAGGUGGUAAAUGGUAGAGGAAGAAGAUGAAUUUAUGAAAGGAUUUGGAGACAAGUGAAUUUCCCACGGGAAGACAACACCCUCAAUGCUAUUUCCCCCAUAGUCACUCCCUGGAGUCGAUUUUCUUACCUACUAUGCCUAAAGUUUUUUUUUUCUGAUCUUUCUGUAGAGACAUUUAGACCUAGGAUUUAAUUGUGCCAUAUAACUGUUGGCAGUUCAGGCCAUGAUUCUGCAAGGAUUUACACCUGUAUUUCACUUACAGCAUUAUGAGUAAUCCUGUUGAAAUACAUGAGAUUAAUUGCAGGACAUAAAGUUAGGCAUGUAUAUUUGUCUUCGUAGCAAAAGAGGUGUAGUUUAAUUUAUUUAUUUACUUUCAGGGUGGGAAAUUAUUUUUAAAAAUACAUAAAUACACAGGAUUUUCCACAAAUUUUGUAGCAAUGAAAGAGGAGAUGGAUGAUCACAAAAUAAGCUUUCUGCUUGCUCCCCAAAAUCACAUUUUUGUCAUGUUCUCAGCUGUAAAGUGUGGGUAAGAAUAGGCUGCAAUAAUUUUCCUUUUUACAUACACAGUUAACCCUCGAGCUAGAAUGAUAUGAUCAUAUGAUUUAUUACAGAGGAGUGAACAGGACUGAAAUCAAACAGGAAGGCAUGUGUACUUAUGUGGACUCUUGUUUAUAAUUUCAUCAGAUUGGUGCACACCUCAGACAUUUUAUUUAGUGAUAAGAUAUGCAAAUUAUUCUGGAGCCAGCAGCAAUACCUUCACCUGAAUGUUAAAAGUGGCAGAGAUUUUUAAACCAACCUCAGUAACAACUUGUAUUUUAAAGUAACUGUUAUUAAGAUAUAGCUACCAACUACAGCCAAGUAAGUGCAGAAUAGUUUCCUACUUUCCUUCAUACCAGUUUCCUUCCUCUCUUGUUUACCUCCAUGGAGGAACAAGGCUGCAAGCUUACCUGUAAAUACUGGGUGUAACUAUGGGCAACAGUGCAGAUGAGCUAUACAGGUAUGUGGAAAUUUGUACAAAGCACAGGAAUGCAGUUUGAAAAUGGGGAGACCUAAGGUAUGAGACAUACCAGAGAAGAUAUCUUCUGUUUCUCCAGAUGCCUACCUACAUCACAUCUUUGUAUCUGUGAAGGGAUGGGUAGCACAGACUUAAUUUCAACUGCUUGCUCUGUAUUUGGUUUUAGUUUUCUUGCAUUUGUGUCCUUAAAUCAGAAUGUGGUAGUAGAAGCCUGUGGAUGCAGUGGAACGUUUGGAUGGUAGCUUUGCCAUGAGAUCGAGAACUGAAAUUCCUCAAAGCUGUAGAUGUUCAGCUGCUGGGCUUUUGGUUUUAAGUGUACAUGCACUCAUGAGAAAAGAGGUGUCACUGAAUAUGCAGCCUGGGAUUUAAAUGUUAGAUGUGUUUAUUUUUUGAAUUCUUGUUCAAGUCAGUGUGCAGUGACUGUAAAGUGAUAAUCCUGUGUAUUUUCCUUAGAUUCCUCCACUUUUCUGUAUGGAUGUGUGCUCAUAACUAUGUCCAAACACUUCCAUAUGAAGUUUUCCUAGGACCUUCUUGGCUUGUUUUCUUCUUCUUGUUGUUUUUAGUGUGUGUACCUAAUUAACCAGAAAGCUAACUGGACUGAAAACAUCCAACAAAGGGUAAUAACUGAAGCUCCUAAUUAGAAAGAUAUGACCUGUCCAUAAAAUGUAAGUCCUGUAAUACAUUCUCAUGGAUCUGGGUGCACUUUGUGAAAAAGCCAAAAUACUCAAGUCUUACUGCUUGUGUGGAUUUGGGCCACUGCAGCAGAACAUUUUGUUUACAACAUCUAAUUCUAGGACCCACUUUGGUGUUGUGGAUACUUGACUUCUAUCCACUCAAAUGGAAGCACUUCAAAAUAAUUAAAGUAAAUGAAUUAUCCAUACACAAAGCAAACCCUUUCAGAGGGAAAGUGAGUUUAAGGAACGCAAGAAUCUGCUUUUCUUUUGGUGUGUUUUUUUUUCUCAACCGUGUAUUUCAAGGUCUUCUUAAAUAAGAAGCCAAUGCUUUUAUUGAAACAUAAAAAAUAAACUUGAAUUUUUGAUUGUCCUUUCUGCCA
Long non-coding RNA from Lonchura striata (white-rumped munia), 3838 nucleotides. The record is from Ensembl. NCBI's taxonomy places the organism in Eukaryota, Metazoa, Chordata, Aves, Passeriformes, Estrildidae.